UACAUAGCUUAAUGAGGGGAACUCAGGGAACUGAAACAUCUAAGUACCUGAAGGAAGAGAAAGAAAUUCGAUUCCGUAAGUAGCGGCGAGCGAACGCGGAUUAGCCCAAACCAAUAAAGUUUUCUUUAUUGGGGUUGCGGACAUAUCAUAACGAAGAGGUAUCGUAAUUGAAGAGGUUUGGAAAGACCCACCACAGAAGGUAAUAGUCCUGUAUGUUAAACGAGAAGACUUUAGAUAUGAUCCAGAGUACCACGGGACACGUGAAACCCUGUGGGAAGCAGGAGGGACCACCCUCCAAGGCUAAAUACUACCUAGUGACCGAUAGCGUAUAGUACCGUGAGGGAAAGGUGAAAAGAACCCCGGGAGGGGAGUGAAAUAGAACCUGAAACCCUGAACUUGAAAGCUGUGGAAGCACAUUUCGUGUAUGACCGCGUACUUGUUGUAGAACGGACCAACGAGGUACGUGAAGUAGCAAGGUUAAGCACUUAAGGUGUGGAGCCGUAGCGAAAGGGAGUGUUAACUGAGCGUACAGGUAAUGGACGUAGACCCGAAACAGGGCGACAUACCCAUGCGCAGGAUGAAGCGAAAGUAAAAUUUCGUGGAGGUCCGAACCCACGAACGUUGAAAAGCUCGGGGAUGACUGGUGGGUAGCGGUGAAAUUCCAAUCGAGCCCGGAGAUAGCUGGUUCUCCCCGAAAUAGCUUUAGGGCUAGCCUCAAGGUGAGAGAUACGGA
RNAcentral lists this ribosomal RNA (733 nucleotides) under Clostridioides difficile. RNAcentral describes it as "bacterial LSU rRNA". It matches the Rfam family "Bacterial large subunit ribosomal RNA", at positions 163 to 900 of the family's 2925-position model. Lineage: Bacteria; Bacillati; Bacillota; Clostridia; Peptostreptococcales; Peptostreptococcaceae. The record is from RNAcentral.